GAUGCCCUACGGGAGGCAGCAGUAGGGAAUCUUCCACAAUGGACGAAAGUCUGAUGGAGCAACGCCGCGUGAGUGAAGAAGGGUUUCGGCUCGGAAAGCUCUGUUGGUAGUGAAGAAAGAUAGAGGUAGUAAUUGGCCUUUAUUUGACGGUAAUUACUUAGAAAGUCACGGCUAACUACGUGCCAGCAGCCGCGGUAAUACGUAGGUGGCAAGCGUUGUCCGGAUUUAUUGGGCGUAAAGGGAACGCAGGCGGGCUUUUAAGGCUGGUGUGAAAGCCUUUGGCUUAAC
RNAcentral lists this ribosomal RNA (288 nucleotides) under uncultured bacterium. RNAcentral describes it as "partial 16S ribosomal RNA". It matches the Rfam family "Bacterial small subunit ribosomal RNA", at positions 333 to 613 of the family's 1533-position model. The record is from RNAcentral.